RNAcentral lists this ribosomal RNA (307 nucleotides) under uncultured eukaryote. Its description in RNAcentral is "partial 18S ribosomal RNA". It matches the Rfam family "Eukaryotic small subunit ribosomal RNA", at positions 1470 to 1796 of the family's 1831-position model. The record is from RNAcentral.
CCCUUAGACGUUCUGGGCCGCACGCGCGCUACACUGACACAGGCAACGAGCUUUCCUUUACCGAAAGGUAUAGGUAAUCUUUUGAAACUGUGUCGUGCUGGGGAUAGAUCCUUGCAAUUUUUGAUCUUAAACGAGGAAUUCCUAGUAAGCGCGAGUCAUCAACUCGCGUUGAUUACGUCCCUGCCCUUUGUACACACCGCCCGUCGCUACUACCGAUUGAAUGGCUUAGUGAGGCCUCAGGAUCCGCGCUUAAUGUGUGGAGAAUUUGGACAAACUACGUCAUUUAGAGGAAGUAAAAGUCGUAACA